UUUAUUGAGAGUUUGAUCCUGGCUCAGGAUGAACGCUGGCGGCAUGCCUAAGACAUGCAAGUCGAACGAGGUGGCCCAAAGAAGAUUGAGUGCUUGCACAAGAUUGGACUUGGAUUACCACCUAGUGGCGGACGGGUGAGUAACACGUAGGUGACCUGCCUUUGAGUUUGGGAUAACUAUUAGAAAUGAUAGCUAAUACCGAAUUAAAUGCAGAUUCGUUUCUGUAUUAAAAGGAGCCUUUAAAGCUUCGCUUAAAGAUGGGCCUGCGGCGUAUUAGCUAGUUGGUGAGGUAAUGGCUUACCAAGGCGACGAUGCGUAGCCGAACUGAGAGGUUGAUCGGCCACAUUGGGACUGAGACACGGCCCUGACUCAUACGGGAGGCAGCAGUGGGGGAUAUUGCACAAUGGGGGAAACCCUGAUG
RNAcentral lists this ribosomal RNA (421 nucleotides) under Bacillota bacterium. RNAcentral describes it as "bacterial SSU rRNA". It matches the Rfam family "Bacterial small subunit ribosomal RNA", at positions 1 to 388 of the family's 1533-position model. The record is from RNAcentral. Lineage: Bacteria; Bacillati; Bacillota.